This is a long non-coding RNA of Homo sapiens (human), 1117 nucleotides long. RefSeq lists it as uncharacterized. The record is from RefSeq and is a predicted model, not a curated record. Lineage: Eukaryota; Metazoa; Chordata; Mammalia; Primates; Hominidae. The transcript has 2 exons.
UGAGCCACCGCACCAGGCCACAAAUAAUGUUUUUAACUAAAAAAAAAAAUUAUUUAGGGUUACAGAGGAUACCAAUUAUAUUGAAUCAUGAUUUGUCCUACUUUUUAAAAAGUGUCAAUAAGAUCUAGAGAUGAGUCUAUUAAUUACUAUAAUUUUGAAGUGGUGAAUGAAAAUAACUAGUAUUUCAAUAUGUCUCUACUGUAAUACAAUAUGAAAAUAUCUGUGAUUUCUAUUGGUGACAAAGUCACAAGCACUACUAAUACUAUCGUGGGUUUUCUUACCAAUAUGCAUGAUGAAAGAAAAUACUGAAUUUCAGUUAGAGGUAAUGCAUACCAAGGAUGUGAUUUUUCCCACGUAAAUUCAUGAACCUUCUACACUCUAUCCAGAGGCUCCUUGGGCUCCAUGGACUCUAUGUGAACAUCCUCUCAUGUCUCUGUUCUAGCUCCUACUUUAAUGCUUUUUCCUUCAUUAUAUGCAUUGUGUUCCUUCAUUCUGUUCUCCUGCAGACACUUAUUACAGAGCUAUGAUGUGCCAGGCAAUACCCAUCCUGUAUGUCAUGUAGUCCUUGAAAACUUCCUUUGAGAAUGAGGCUCUUGUGUCUUGAUCAGAGAGAAGCGACCUACACGGUUGGACAGCAAAUCCAGGAACAAACCAGUGGCCCACAUACCAGCCAGGCUCUUCCUCACUCUUUGUGGCCACACUUUCUGUUUAGGUCUUCGUUGGUUUGCUGUCUGUUUGUUUUACUAGGCGAUCUUUCAGACACACAAAGCGACAUGAAGAAUAAUACAGGGACCACCCACAUAGUUUACAAAAUAAAAAAAUUGGCUGACUCUGGGUUCACUGCUUGGGAGUUAGCCCUGCUCUGAAAGGAACAGCUUAAAAAAUAAAAAAGUAAAUAAAAUAAAAUGUAAAAAAAAAAAAUUUGAUCCGGUUUGAAGUCCCUUGCAUACUCCUCCCUCCUCCCCAAGAGGUACUACACUCCUGAAUUUGGUAUUUAUUAUUCCCAUAUUCUUAUUUAUGCUCACAUAUGCAUGGAUCUUUGAGCAAUGUGUGGAAUUGCUUUGCAUGUAAUUAAAUUUUAAAUAAAUAGCAUCAUGCUGCAUGUAUUCUCCUGGAA